RNAcentral lists this ribosomal RNA (488 nucleotides) under uncultured bacterium. Its description in RNAcentral is "partial 16S ribosomal RNA". It matches the Rfam family "Bacterial small subunit ribosomal RNA", at positions 28 to 507 of the family's 1533-position model. The record is from RNAcentral.
GAUGAACGCUAGCGGCAGGCCUAAUACAUGCAAGUCGGACGGGAUCCAUUGAUAGCUUGCUAUCCAUGGUGAGAGUGGCGCACGGGUGCGUAACGCGUGAGCAACCUGCCUCCAUCAGGGGGAUAGCCUCUCGAAAGAGAGAUUAACACCGCAUAAUAUCAACAGUUCGCAUGUUCAGUUGAUUAAAUAUUUAUAGGAUGGAGAUGGGCUCGCGUGACAUUAGCUAGUUGGUAGGGUAACGGCUUACCAAGGCGACGAUGUCUAGGGGCUCUGAGAGGAGAAACACCCACACUGGUACUGAGACACGGACCAGACUCCUACGGGAGGCAGCAGUAAGGAAUAUUGGUCAAUGGGCGGAAGCCUGAACCAGCCAUGCCGCGUGCAGGAUGACUGCACUAUGGGUUGUAAACUGCUUUUGUCCAGGAAUAAACCUAAAUACGAGUAUUUAGCUGAAUGUACUGGAAGAAUAAGGAUCGGCUAACUCCGUG